UUUUGUGUUUUUUCAAAGGUUUUCUGUAGACAGUAGUACAUUGUAAAUAAGAAACAUAACCCAAAAAAAGAAAAAUGUUAUGGUUAAUCUAGUUUCCUCAAACUCAACAAUGCAGCUUAAUUAGCACAUUCAACUGGUCGAAUCAAACCUCAAAAAGAACACUAUCAAACAAUAACCUUAACUAUUAUAUAAAUAUCUCAUCCCACAAAAACACUAUCAAACAGUGAUGUAUUACAAGUAAAAAAACUCACAACAAUAAGCAACAACCACGAUUAACACAAUACAAACAGAGGGUUCUGAUACACAACAAUAAUAGCUUAUUUCAGCAAUUUGGCAGAUUACAUCACUUCGUAAAUCCACACGUCAAAGAAGCCCCUACCACAUGGACUCCCAUCCUGAAACACGAAAAAUUGCAGCAAUGUCAACUACAAGAUGGAGACAAAAUUGCAAUAAGGAAAACAAUCAAACAUAGACUAUGAUGCAAUAUUGUAGCAGGUAUAUUGUUUGCUAUUAAAUCAAAGAAAUCUGCAGUGAAAAUAUGAUGCAAUAAUGGAUUUUGCAAAGUAAAUACUUUCACUAAUUGUGGAACAAAAAUCAUGGUUGAGCAGAAUAAAUUGGUUACAUGUUAUUUUAGCUUUAGGAUUGUCUACCCAAAAACUAUGGUAUUCUGUAUCAUUUUACCUUUAGGUGUUAGAGACUACCCAAGUUUACAGCAGAGGAGAUGGAAAAUUCCUAUUAACAUAUGUAACCAAUUUACAGCCCCACAAGUGCACAAAUCACAAUAGAGACUAUUCAAAGAUUUUGAUAAAUAAAUAGUGGAUGAUACAUUUAGUUUUUAAAUUGUUUUGGCAUAAUUAAUGAUGAUGUUUUUGUCCAUGACAGCAAAUGAGGGUCCAUGGAAGAGGAGGAAAAAUAGACCUAUUUUGAGAUGGAGAAACCAAACUAGACAAAUAUAUACCUAUUGUUUAUAAUAUAUAGCUAGGUAGAUUCCAUUACCCUCUCACACAUAUACAAAUUAAAAAGCACUUCGCAAACCCAACGGCCUUUGGCUGUAGACUCCUUUCUAAGCAGCCCCUCCCCCAAAUUAGCUAGCAAAAAAAAUUAGAAGUUUGAGGAACCUUUAUUUUUAAAGCUACCGGAAAGACAGUAAGAUUUAUAUUUCUUGUUGGGGUAUGGAUUAUUUGGUAGGUGGUUCAUGUGGAGGAAUACUUCGCAUAUAGGAGAUUGGACUCGAUGGAUUCGGUGGGUUAUAGAGAACCAAGCAGUACUAGAUGAAUAUUGGGGGAAGUAGAAAAUACCUUGGGAGACAAAGAGAGACGGCGAGUUCGUCGAGUUUUUGGCUUCGUUUGGCCGGAAGCUUUGGGCUAGAGACGCGAUCAGGCGAGGUUUCAGCUUCGUAAGAGAGAGAGAGAGAGAGAGGUUUCGGCUUAAGAGAGAGAGAAAGACGCGAUUUGGCUUGAGAUCAGAUUAACACUUUCCUUUCCUUUCCCAACCGUUGGAUAUAAUCCACGGCUCAUAACAGAAGUUUGGAUUUUAAGUAAUGUCCGGGCGCCCAGACUAGAUCUUAACCGUAUAUAUAUAUAUAUAUAUAUAUAUAUAUAUAUAUAUAUAUAUAUAUAUAUAUAUAUAUAUAUAUAUAUAUAUUACAGAAAUUUAAUAAGAGGAAAAUGAUAAAUAAUAUUAUAAUAUUGUUAUUACAAUUAAAACGUAUCUUUUGAGUACAAACUGAGUACAGUAUAUUAAAAUUAUUGAAUUUAUGAAAAUAUAAUUUGCAUGAGUUCAUAAUUUAAUUAUAUGUAUUAUAUUUUAUUUUGAUAAUUAGAUCGGAUUUAGGGAGUUUAGCGGGUGAUAGUUGGAUUCGGCGAAUUAUUUUGGUACUAUAUUAAGGUACGGGUUCCGUACUUUUUCAGCGAUACUCUUUAAAAUUUAAUUCGUUCGUUUGUACUCGUUUAGAAAUUUGGUAUUAUCUCUCAGGAUUAUUCCUUGUUGUAAAAAUUAUUGAGAUAGUUUCAUUUUGGCUUUAAUAUUAGAAUUCGUAUUUGUACUCUUUGAACUAGUUAAUCGUGUCAAUAUGUUUUGGAGACUUUAUUCGUUUGUACCAUUGUUCGUAUAUUUUUGUUCACAUUCGGGAGUUAUUUUGAUCAUUGAUAUAUUAUGUUAAUUAAUAAUGUUUGUAUUUGAUAAUUCGAUUUCAUUUGAAUAUGGUCAUGUAAGCCUUGUGAUUUGAACCCCUUUUGGCUUACAUUUUGUAGUUUGAUCCUUAGGGUAUACUUGAGCUAACCACCUGUGGGGGUACCACAGGCAUGUCCUCUUGACACAAGGGCAUGACAGCUUCCAUGGCGGUGUGAUUAGUCCACAGCGUAUCCUUUUGUAUGCUCUGGGUAUGAGCUUUGGCCAUUUGAUAUAUUUGUUCAAGAUACGUAUGGGUCGACCCAGUAUUUGAUUUGAUUCGAUUUGUUUGGCGGAUUAGUGAUGUAUGUGUCGUGCGUACUAUCCGAUUUGAUUUGUAUACAUCAUGGUAUCGAUGUAUUUUAUUAGCCUUUGGCUAUUUGUAUUUGAGCUCAGUAUGAAACUAUUACCUUGCAACCAUUUGAUUCAGCCUUAUUUCAUUGGGAUAAUUUUUGGGUAUAAUUAUUCGUUCGAUAGUGUUAAUCAUUUGUAAAUGGUCUCACUAAUUUUGAUAUAUUCGUAAUUUGUUUGUAAUUCACUUAUAUUCAUUCAUUCGACUCUUUCAGUUACAUCAUAUAUUGUGAUAUAUUUGUUCAUCUUUAUAUCCAUACUGGGCAAUUGGCUCACAUUGUGUUCUUUUUCCGGCAGGUAAUCAGGGGUGAUCAGGAUAUGUGGGAUGAGAGCUACCUUUGAUCCAAUUGAGUAGAUUAGUUUCUAAGACUUAUUAUUAGACUUGGUUUUCUUAAUAUUUUGUAUAUGGAUAUUUGGGCAAUUUUGGUAUUUAUUUCUUAUUAGUAGAGAUUAUAUAAGUGUGGAGUUCCUUCUAUUUGGAGUACGUGACAAUUAGUGUUCAAUUUCAUUGGAAAUAUUUUGAGAUUUAUUAGAGGUUUGUGUUUAUUAUGUUUUGUGCGUGACAUUCCUUUUCCUUUUAAGGAAGGGGGUGUUACAGUAUAUCCAUGGCCUACAAUGCUACUGGUUGCGGGGAGGGACUGUCUAUGUCCAGACCUCCACUAUUUGAUGGUACCAACUUUGCCACCUG
RNAcentral lists this long non-coding RNA (3208 nucleotides) under Panax ginseng (ginseng). RNAcentral's name for it is "long non-coding RNA (PGIN_LNC007557)". Lineage: Eukaryota; Viridiplantae; Streptophyta; Magnoliopsida; Apiales; Araliaceae. The record is from RNAcentral.